Molecule: long non-coding RNA, 1013 nt
Organism: Hippocampus comes (tiger tail seahorse)
Lineage: Eukaryota; Metazoa; Chordata; Actinopteri; Syngnathiformes; Syngnathidae
Exons: 2
Source: RefSeq, a predicted model, not a curated record
AGCUAGUGCCCAGCCGAGAGACUUCCAUGGUGCACGAGCUGAACAGGUACAUCCCCACCGCUGCUGCCUUUGGGGGCCUUUGUAUAGGAGGCCUCUCUGUCAUGGCCGACUUCCUGGGCGCCAUCGGCUCCGGCACGGGAAUCCUCUUGGCUGUGACCAUCAUCUACCAGUACUUUGAGAUCUUUGUGAAAGAGCAGAGCGAAGUGGGGAGCAUGGGUGCACUGCUCUUCUAGAAAAUGCCAAGUCGACCAUGUGCAGCACCUCUAUACCGUGUCACUCUUGUGCGUUCCGUCUUUUUUUGGGGGGGGGGCAGUUUGCACUAUCAGUUCAUUUUGCAUUGGGGAUUAAUUAUUUGACACCUUUUGUCUCUCUUGCAUUGUCAAGAGACCCAUUUUGUUUUCUCCCUGCUUUGAACUUGGUAUUGUCGCCAGUCCAUUUCUUUUACGCCUUACCAUCACGGAGGGCUCGACUGGCCCACCAACUGUUUUCAUCAGCGGAAGAAUCCCUCAACUUGUGUGUGUGUGUGUGUGUGCGUGUGCGUGCGCGGUGCUGUCUUAGACUCACCUUGGGCAUUUUUCCACGAAGAACACUAUGACAAAACAUGAAUUCCAGGCAUUAAGAUGUCUCAAGGAAAGCCAUGUCAGUCAUUUGAUGGGGAGUUGUGAGCGAGAUGCGAUGAGUAUGAACAAAAUUUUCUUCUUUCUGUUAUCUGGGCAAGUUGCUCACAUUUACCCUUGACGUUUGUAUUCUCAAUGACGGACUGUUCAUAUUCACUCUGGUCCUCUGUUCUAUAGGUAGGACACAGUACGUUUGUCCUAUACCUCUGGCUGGUAAAGUAAAAUUGAUCGUCUGAACUGUCUUGCUCUUUCAUUCCCGGACUGAAUCACUGCACAAAACUGCACGGUGGGUCAGUAAGACGGUCGGUUUGAUAUGGAUGCAAAGCGGGGGUUCAUUUUGGUUUUUACUAUUAUGUAACAGACAUAACUGUUAUUAAAAGUUUUUUUUCCAACAAU